RNAcentral lists this long non-coding RNA (738 nucleotides) under Mus musculus (house mouse). Its description in RNAcentral is "long non-coding RNA chr6:97619678-97620416". Lineage: Eukaryota; Metazoa; Chordata; Mammalia; Rodentia; Muridae. The record is from RNAcentral.
UUUUUUUUUUUUUUUUUUUUUUUUGGGCCAAUCAAUUCUCUAGGAGAUGCUGUCAUAAAGAGGGGGAAGAAUGGAAGAGGAGCAAAGCCAUUGAUAGGAGGAUGGUAUUUGUUUUUAAAACACAAAUAUAUAUAUGUAAACCUGUGUCUAAAUAUGAUUGUAAGAUAAGCCCAAUGAGACAACAUCUAGACAGUGAAAAUAUUAUUUAUUUGAGUUUCAAAAAAAAAAUGAUCAACACCUCUUGUAGUCUUUGUCAAACCAGUAAAUAGGUAACUCCAUGCUGGGCAGUGUGAAAAAAACAAAACACUGCAAUGAAUCGAAUAAAAUAUGUGUUCUGCAGGAAGCUGUAAUUUAAUAGAUAUGAGGCAAAUAUCUAUGGUCAAAAUGACAGCCAUGAACAUCAGGAACCAAAAAUACAGAAUUUCCAGGUUUUUAAAAAAAAAAAUUAAGGCCCCGCUCACAGCUCUAUUACACAAAAAGGAAUAGUUUUGAUGGAAGGUUAUGUUAAAAAUUUCUGUCUGUUUCCAGCCCUAUUUUACCAUUUGGGAGGUUUUUGUUUGUUUGUUUGUUUUUUGUCUUUUUUUUUUAGCAUAAAGGAGUGUUUUGGUAUUUUGGUAUGUAUGUCAUGAAAUCGAGCUACUGCGUUAACAAAGAUAUGUACUAUAAAUAUCCAAAUUAGAACACUUUAAAAGUAUUCAUUUAUUUUGAUUAAUGGUAGAUACAUGCUUGUUGAAUUUU